GAAUAGCGUGGAGUAAUAGGUGUAAAUUGCGUGCAAUUUACUUAAAAGGGAAGUCGGUGCAAAUCCGACACUGUCCCGCAACUGUAAAUGUGAGCGACUUUUCAUAGACCACUGUUUAACGACGGGAAGGCGAAAAGUAGCGAUGACCAUAAGUCAGGAUACCUGCCUAUUAUGAGUACACACC
RNAcentral lists this non-coding RNA (184 nucleotides) under Lysinibacillus xylanilyticus. The record is from RNAcentral. Lineage: Bacteria; Bacillati; Bacillota; Bacilli; Caryophanales; Bacillaceae.